This 487-nucleotide ribosomal RNA is filed under the name uncultured bacterium. RNAcentral's name for it is "partial 16S ribosomal RNA". It matches the Rfam family "Bacterial small subunit ribosomal RNA", at positions 29 to 506 of the family's 1533-position model. The record is from RNAcentral.
AUUGAACGCUGGCGGCAGGCCUAACACAUGCAAGUCGAACGGUAACAGGGAUCCUCUUGCUGAUUCGCUGGCGAGUGGCGGACGGGUGAGUAAUGUCUGGGAAACUGCCUGAUGGAGGGGGAUAACUACUGGAAACGGUAGCUAAUACCGCAUAACGUCGCAAGCCCAAAGAGGGGGACCUUCGGGCCUCUUGCCAUCGGAUGUGCCCAGAUGGGAGUAGCUAGUAGGUGGGGUAACGGCUCACCUAGGCGACGAUCCCUAGCUGGUCUGGGAGGAUGACCAGCCAGACUGGAACAGAGACACGGUCCAGACUGCGACGGGAGGCAGCAGUGGGGAAUAUGGAACAAUGGGCGAAAGCCUGAUGCAGCCAUGCCGCGUAUGAAGAAGGCCUUCGGGUGGUAAAGUACUUUCAGCGGGGAGGAAGGGAGUAAAGUUAAUACCUUUGCUCAUUGACGUUACCCGCAGAAGAAGCACCGGCUAACUCCGG